UAGCUCAAAGGUAGAGUACUUGCCUAGCAAGUGUGAGGCCCUGGGUUCAAUCCCCAG
This 57-nucleotide transfer RNA is filed under the name Ictidomys tridecemlineatus (thirteen-lined ground squirrel). RNAcentral describes it as "Spermophilus tridecemlineatus (thirteen-lined ground squirrel) tRNA". It matches the Rfam family "tRNA", at positions 8 to 63 of the family's 71-position model. Rfam says of the family: Transfer RNA (tRNA) molecules are approximately 80 nucleotides in length. Their secondary structure includes four short double-helical elements and three loops (D, anti-codon, and T loops). Lineage: Eukaryota; Metazoa; Chordata; Mammalia; Rodentia; Sciuridae. The record is from Rfam by way of RNAcentral.